RNAcentral lists this ribosomal RNA (393 nucleotides) under bacterium enrichment culture. Its description in RNAcentral is "bacterial SSU rRNA". It matches the Rfam family "Bacterial small subunit ribosomal RNA", at positions 521 to 916 of the family's 1533-position model. The record is from RNAcentral.
UAAUACGUAGGUGGCAAGCGUUGUCCGGAUUUAUUGGGUUUAAAGGGUGCGUAGGUUGUGUUGUAAGUCAGUGGUGAAAUCCGGCAGCUUAACUGUCGAUGUGCCAUUGAUACUGCAGCACUUGAGUACAGACGAGGUAGGCGGAAUUGACGGUGUAGCGGUGAAAUGCUUAGAUAUCGUCAAGAACACCGAUAGCGAAGGCAGCUUACUAGACUGUAACUGACACUGAUGCACGAAAGUGUGGGGAUCAAACAGGAUUAGAUACCCUGGUAGUCCACACUGUAAACGAUGAUUACUCGAUGUUGGCGAUACACAGCCAGCGUCUUAGCGAAAGCGAUAAGUAAUCCACCUGGGGAGUACGCCCGCAAGGGUGAAACUUAAAUGAAUUGACGG